CGGCGCGUGCUGCCUGAGGGGGAGGUGCGGGCGUGUGAGGUCAGCCCCUGCACGCGCCUUCGUGUGCACGCGCAACUCUGCUUGAGGCACAUAUAUAAGCAACACGUGGGUAUACAGAGCCACGGGAACGGUGUAUGAAGCAUGCUGCCGAGAAGCUACUGGAUCUGCCCAGCUAAGUAAACUCUACAUCUGGAGAAAUGUGAGUGGAAUUCUCAGUGGAGAAGCCGCUUCUGUGUGCCUCCUCGCUAAGCCAUGCUGCAGCACUUGGGCAUCGCUAAGUGCUGCUGCUGAGGGAAAUGAGUGGUUCAGUGGUGUCUUGCAGUGAUCCCCUACACAGAAUGGGCUGCGGUGAGAUGCUUCAAU
This 363-nucleotide long non-coding RNA is filed under the name Gallus gallus (chicken). RNAcentral's name for it is "long non-coding RNA NONGGAT001094". Lineage: Eukaryota; Metazoa; Chordata; Aves; Galliformes; Phasianidae. The record is from RNAcentral.